This is a long non-coding RNA of Crocodylus porosus (Australian saltwater crocodile), 4269 nucleotides long. NCBI's taxonomy places the organism in Eukaryota, Metazoa, Chordata, Crocodylia, Crocodylidae. The record is from Ensembl.
AGGUUUGGAUACAAACUUACUGACUGAUUCUUCUCUUUAGACUGGAAAAAAUGAAAAAUGAAUAUCGGGCACUAAAAACCUGGGACAAAAAAGCUGAGUAUUUAGAUGAACUCAUCAUGAAAAAGGGACCUAAAAUGACCACAGGACAGCAUAUGGCAUUUCACUUCAAGGAAAUGGAUGAAAAGAGGCAAAAAACUUCUGGGGAAAGAAGCAGAACAUUAACAGACUAAAUUGAAAGGUUAUUCAAAUCUGUCCUUCAGAAUUUCGGAGCAAGUACUGGAAACUACAGACAAAAUGCAUCAUGGUGAUUCCUCAGAAUAUGCAGAAUCUGACCCAAAACUUCAGCCUCUUCCUGCAGUAGUUAUAACAUCCACAUCAAGUGUUUCUCAAAAAUCAUUAAUUAGGAACCCAAAGGAACAUUUGGAAAGGACAUCUUCAGUUUGUUUCAAACCUAUGGACUCAGAAUAUGUUAUUUCUGUAGUUCCAGACUGGGAAACAGAACUGGGAAAAAAACCUAACACAGAAAAAAUAAGUGUUCUGGAACCAACUAGAACUGACCUUAUAAAUUUAGAAGAUCAUCCAGUAAUACAUUCUCAGGAUUUUGCCUCUGGUAUUUCAGAGAGAGCACGUAUCAGUCCCCAGGUUUCAGUGAGUUCUGAAAGUGUACCAGUGAUCAUCGUAAGUGAGCCAUCAGGUAAAAUGGCCAAAAAGUUGCAGCAGUUCCCUCUUAAAGAGAUUGAAUACCAGCAACCUGUUCUUAGUGGGGACAAAUUUGAACCUUUUUUGAGACAUAUAGGUAGAACACAAUCAACUGUACAAGAAAGGAAAGAAGCUGGGCUGGAAGUACCUAUUUUCAGUGUUCUGGAAAACAAACUUCUGUGUGCAGAUGUCAAAGAGGAAGAAGAUCAGGAUCCACCUACUGGAACACCUUCAAGAAAAGCAGCAAGUAGUUCAGAUGUUGAGUUAAGUAAGAGUUGUCAGCGCCUUUCUAUAUUACAACUUAUAGAAUCAAAGAUGAAAUUAGAAGAGGAGCAGCAAGAUCUUUCUUUACCAAAUGUUAAAGAACCAUUAUUGUUGACUAUAAAUACAAAUUUGCCUGAAAAAUGGCAAGAGAAGAGACUUUCAGAAACAGAAAUAAUGCAUCCAAACAUAUUUUUAAACAAUGCUCUUGAAGACUUUCUUGUAGACAGACUCAUAAAUAUAAUAACAUUAAAAUCUGUAUUAAGCAGUAGUCUUGGUGAGAUGAUCUCAGAGAGACUUUCAGAAAUAAUGGUAGAGACAAAGACAGAAUUGGAGGAAGAGUACCAGAAUCUACAAUGUUUUGUAGAUGGAUCACCAGUUGUUCUGGAGAGAGAUUUACUUGAAAAGGGACAGAAUUAUUACAGGCUUUCUGAACCAGACACAAUAAAUUUAAAAUCAGUUUUAAGCCAGAACUUGCAGGAUCGUCUCAUUGAGAGAUUUUCUGAAACAGGAAUAAUCACAGACUUGGAGUUAGGGAAGCAGCCCAAGAAUCUGCCAUUUCAAGAAAUAAAAGAUAUGGUUGGGGACAUGGAUUUAGAUGACAAAAUACAUAAUUAUGAGAAGACGGCCUCAGAACCUGAACUAGUAGAUCUUAAACCUGUUUUAAAACAAAAUCUACAAGAUUUUGCCAGAGAGAGGCUUUUAGAAUUGGGUUUAAUGCUAAGUAAUGAUGAGAGACAACCAAAAUUUGAGGCAGAGUCACCUGAGAAAAGCAAAGAUCAGUCUGGAAAACAGUAUUCAGAAACAGACAUAAGAAUAAUAAAAUCUUUAAGUGAAAACCUACAGGAACUUCCAGAUGAGAGACUUUUAGAAUCAGGAUUAAUAAAAGUCACUGAAUUAGAGCAUGAAUGCCCAAAUUUGACUUCUCAGUUUUUUAAAGACAGACAAUCAAUAGAUGAGAAAAGGACAAAAUGUUUUAAGAAGAAGUCUUUCAAAACAGAAAAAAUAAAAAUAGAAUCUGCUCGAAGUCAGAAUCUACAAAACCAUAUGUCGAAAAGUUGCUCAGAAAGAGGGAUGAACACAGAAAUUAAGUUAGGAAAAGAGCAACAGAAUGGGUCAGUGCAGAUAAUCAAAGUAAGAUUGCCAAUGGAUUUGGAGACAGAGGUACCUAGAAGAGAGGAAGAUCAUCACAAGCAAAGGCUUACAAGAUCAGAAAUAAAUUCAAAAUCUGCUUCAGAUAAAACUCUCCAAGAUACUUUUGUAGAAAAACUUUUGGAAACAGAAAUAAUGAGUCUAAAGACUUUUUUAAAUCAGUGCCUCCAGGAGAAGCUCCCUGAGACAAGAUUAGUUACAGAGGAGGAGUUAGAAAAUGUACAACAGAACCACUCCUUGCAGCACAUUGCAGAAAGACAACCUAGAGUAACAGAAACAGAUUUACCUGAUAUAGGACAAGUUCAUCCUAGUGAAAGUCUUACUAAACAACAUAUAAUAAAAGGAAGACCUAUUUUAAAUGGCAAUAUACAAGACUUUCUACUAGAGGCACUCUCACAAAGGGAAAUCAUGCAUUUAAAGUCAAUUUUAAGCAAAAAGAUCCAAAAUCACCUUAUAGAAAGAUUCUCGGAAAUAGGGGUAAUCACAGAGGAAGAGUUAAGAAAGAUAUACCAGAGUUUGUUUGUGUUGAGAGCCAAUGAAAGACCGUCAAAUGCUAUGGAGGUAAAUUUACCCAAGGAAGAGCAAAGUCUAAGAACAAAAUCUCUCUUAACCAAAAACCUUCAAGAUAAACUUUCAGAAACACAGCUUGUAGAACUGAAAUCUCUCUUAAACAAGAUUAUGAAAGAAGGUUGUAAAGACAAGCUUUCUGAAACAGAAGUAAAAAGUCUGAAAUCUGUUUUAAGCACCAGCUUUCAAGACCUUCCUGUAGAAAAUAUUUCAGUGGAAUUAGAAAGCACAUGCCAGAAUAUAUCUUUGAAAAAUGGUGAAGGGAAACCACUUACAGUAACUGAUAAAAAUGUAUUUGAGAGCAGGCAAGAUCACACAGCAGAGAAUCCUGAUAAAAUGUCCAUAAUAAAUGAAAAGCCCAUUUUAAGAAAAGAGAAGUGUAAACUUCCUGUAGAUAAUAUUUCAGAACAGGUGUGUGCAGUGGUUAAUCUAAACAAAGAAACCCAAACCAACAAUUUAAGAACCCUUCCACAAAAAGGAAAAAACUCUUUUGAAAGAGAAACUCAAGUUUUACAAAGUUCUCUCAGUAAUACAGAGAAAACAUAUUCAAAAAUGGAUUUUGAAAAAGCAUUAAAACCAAAGCACUCUGAUGACUCUUUGAGAGGAACACCUGAAACAGUAGUCCCAACUUCCUUUUUAAGUUCUCAUGAUACUGAAGUCCAAACAGAGCUUAAGGAAUAUCUCUCCAAGUCAAUGCUGUCCUUUCCCGCAAGCCCUCCAACAUUUAUCUUUUUACGUUCAGACUCUGAGGGAGAAGCAAAACCAUCACACAAGUCUUGUGGAAAAGCAAAAGGUAAAAAAAAACAUAUUAAUAAAGUUUCUAGAAAGUGUACUGUGCCAUAUCAAGGACAAGUAGUAAUGGGUAUGCAAUUUAAGGAGGAGAAACAAACUUAUUUGAAUAAGUCUAAAGAAGGAUUAAAGGGAAAACGCAAAAAACAUCCCGAACCAGCUUCUUUCAUACUGGGUGUUUCAGGAUCCAAGAAAGAUUCAAAAUGUUCUAUGUUAUCCUAUACUUUAAAUAAAGAAAACUCAAAACAGAAAGCAGAGCAAGAAAAAAGGCAUGAAGGUAAAUCAAAGAAAUUGCUUAGCAAGUCUAUUAAGGUACCAUCAGCCACUAUGUCUGAACAACAGCUCAAGCACUCUGCAAACAUGGUUCAAGAAGAAUCAUCUCUGAGUUCCUUUCCAAGACCAUGGAGUGCAAAGAAAAACAUAUCUCAUUGUACAGAUAGAGAAGAUUUAGACACGGAACUAUUUAAGCAUCUUGAAAAAGCUGUAAAAAGGGCGCUGCGUGAUUUAGGAAAGGCUCCAGAAGACAGCACGUGCCAGCCAUUACAUUCUGUAAGACCACAUACUGCUCCAGAUAUUUGUAAUCCAACUGAAGAGACCUCUAAAGCACAGCCUGCUCGCUCUUGCACAUCUUCUUUAGAUUCUUUUGUUGGUGAAGAUACAGGACAUAUGACCAGCUCAGAAUCUGAAAACUUGGACAGUCCAGUGGAGCAGGUAGAAAUAACUCCUGAAAAGUGGGAAGUUGUUUCUAAAGUUCUUCAAAAAAUAUUACAGCAAAACUGGAAACCUAGGACAGAUAGUUAA